UGAGGAAUAUUGCACAAUGGGGGAAACCCUGAUGCAGCGACGCCGCGUGAAGGAUGACGGUCUUCGGAUUGUAAACUUCUGUUAAGUGGGAAGAAAGAAUUGCCUUUAAUAGGGGCAAGAGAUGACGGUACCACUAGAGAAAGCACCGGCUAAAUUUGUGCCAGCAGCCGCGGUAAUACAAGUGGUGCUAGCGUUAUUCGGAUUCAUUGGGCGUAAAGGGUACGUAGACGGCGUGCUAAGUUAGUUGUUAAAUCUCUCGGCCUAACCGAGAUCAAGCGAUUAAUACUGGCGUGCUAGAGGGUGGAAGAGAGAAGUGGAAUUCUCGGAGUAGCGGUAAAAUGCGUAGAUAUCGAGAGGAACACCGAUGGCGAAGGCAGCUUCUUGGUCCACACCUGACGUUGAGGUACGAAAGCGUGGGUAGCAAACA
This 427-nucleotide ribosomal RNA is filed under the name uncultured prokaryote. RNAcentral describes it as "bacterial SSU rRNA". It matches the Rfam family "Bacterial small subunit ribosomal RNA", at positions 355 to 774 of the family's 1533-position model. The record is from RNAcentral.